RNAcentral lists this ribosomal RNA (253 nucleotides) under uncultured bacterium. RNAcentral's name for it is "partial 16S ribosomal RNA". It matches the Rfam family "Bacterial small subunit ribosomal RNA", at positions 524 to 776 of the family's 1533-position model. The record is from RNAcentral.
CACGUAGGGCGCAAGCGUUGUCCGGAAUUAUUGGGCGUAAAGAGCUCGUAGGUGGUUUGUUACGUCUGCUGUGAAAACCUAGGGCUUAACCCUGGGCUUGCAGUGGAUACGGGCAGACUAGAGGUAGGUAGGGGAGAAUGGAAUUCCUGGUGUAGCGGUGAAAUGCGCAGAUAUCAGGAGGAACACCGGUGGCGAAAGCGGCGUGCUGGACCUCUUCUGACGCUGAGGCGCGAAAGCUAGGGGAGCAAACGGG